This 459-nucleotide ribosomal RNA is filed under the name uncultured bacterium. RNAcentral's name for it is "partial 16S ribosomal RNA". It matches the Rfam family "Bacterial small subunit ribosomal RNA", at positions 338 to 795 of the family's 1533-position model. The record is from RNAcentral.
CCUACGGGGGGCAGCAGUGAGGAAUAUUGGUCAAUGGCCGGAAGGCUGAACCAGCCAAGCCGCGUGAAGGACGAAGGUGUCAAGCAUUGUAAACUUCUUUUGUCAAGGGACAAAAUCAGGCUCGAGAGCCUGACCGAGGGUACUUGAAGAAAAAGCAUGGGCUAACUCCGUGCCAGCAGCCGCGUGAAUACGGAGGAAGCGAGCGUUAUACGGAUUUAUUGGGUGUAAGGGGUGCGUAGGCGGAAGGUUAAGACAGCGGUAAAAGCCCGGGGCUCAACCCCGGCGAGCCUUUGAAACUGGGUUUCUUGAGAUGUCGAGAGGUAUGCGGAAUGCGCAGUGUAGCGGUGAAAUGCUUAGCUAUUGCGCAGAACUCCGAUUGCGAAGGCAGCAUCCCGGCGGCGAUCUGACGCUGCGGCACGAAAGCGUGGGUAUCGAACAGGAUUAGAUACCCGAGUAGUC